This is a non-coding RNA of Procambarus clarkii (red swamp crayfish), 130 nucleotides long. RefSeq annotates it as small Cajal body-specific RNA 8. NCBI's taxonomy places the organism in Eukaryota, Metazoa, Arthropoda, Malacostraca, Decapoda, Cambaridae. The record is from RefSeq and is a predicted model, not a curated record.
UAUGGGCUUGAUACACAGUGAUGACUUAAGUUUGUCAUGCCUGUCACUAUAGCCCAAAGAAAAAUAUUUGUCUUCUGAUGACUAUGCUGUUACAAGGCCCUCAGCAUGGACAGAUACGGGACAUACAAUU